This 282-nucleotide long non-coding RNA is filed under the name Phoenix dactylifera (date palm). RNAcentral describes it as "long non-coding RNA (PDAC_LNC001723)". The record is from RNAcentral. Lineage: Eukaryota; Viridiplantae; Streptophyta; Magnoliopsida; Arecales; Arecaceae.
UUUUGAGAGGGAUACGGAAGGAAGCAAAUUGCUUUCCCCAAUUUAUUAGGUAAAAUAAAGAAUGAUUACAGGGAAAAGAAAUAGAAGAAGUGGAGAGUGGUUACUAGGAAAGUACAACGGAGAUCAUGGAAUUAGAAAAGAGGAUCUAAAGAUGUAGGAUAUUUUUGUGGCUUUCCAGAUCUUUAGCUGAGCAUAAAUUACCCCAAAGUUUGAAGGUGCGAAGAGUUUUGGAAAGGACUGCUUUAACGGAAGACCUUUUCCUUAACACUGUUCAAUGUCCGN